This 254-nucleotide ribosomal RNA is filed under the name uncultured bacterium. RNAcentral's name for it is "partial 16S ribosomal RNA". It matches the Rfam family "Bacterial small subunit ribosomal RNA", at positions 524 to 776 of the family's 1533-position model. The record is from RNAcentral.
UCCAGAGGUGGCAAGCGUUGUUCGGAAUUACUGGGCGUAAAGGGCGCGUAGGCGGUCUUUUAAGUCUUGUGUGAAAUCCCUCGGCUCAACUGAGGAACUGCACGGGAUACUGGAAGACUUGAGUUCGGGAGAGGGAAGCGGAAUUCCGGGUGUAGCGGUGAAAUGCGUAGAUAUCCGGAGGAACACCGGUGGCGAAGGCGGCUUCCUGGACCGAUUACUGACGCUGAGGCGCGAAAGCUAGGGGAGCAAACGGG